This 370-nucleotide ribosomal RNA is filed under the name uncultured prokaryote. RNAcentral's name for it is "bacterial SSU rRNA". It matches the Rfam family "Bacterial small subunit ribosomal RNA", at positions 524 to 896 of the family's 1533-position model. The record is from RNAcentral.
UACGGAGGGUGCAAGCGUUAUCCGGAAUCAUUGGGUUUAAAGGGUCCGCAGGCGGAUUUAUAAGUCAGUGGUGAAAGCCUACAGCUUAACUGUAGAACUGCCAUUGAAACUGUAAGUCUUGAAUUCGGUCGAAGUGGGCGGAAUAUGACAUGUAGCGGUGAAAUGCUUAGAUAUGUCAUAGAACACCGAUAGCGAAGGCAGCUCACUAGGCCUGGAUUGACGCUCAGGGACGAAAGCGUGGGGAGCAAACAGGAUUAGAUACCCUGGUAGUCCACGCCGUAAACUAUCAAUACUCGUUCUCGGCGAUAUACAGUCGGGGACUAAGCGAAAGUGAUAAGUAUUGCACCUGGGGAGUACGAUCGCAAGGUUG